Molecule: ribosomal RNA, 449 nt
Filed under: uncultured bacterium
Lineage: Bacteria
Description: bacterial SSU rRNA
Rfam family: Bacterial small subunit ribosomal RNA
Source: RNAcentral
ACCAGACUCCUACGGGAGGCAGCAGUGGGGAAUAUUGGGCAAUGGGCGCAAGCCUGACCCAGCAACGCCGCGUGAAGGAAGAAGGCUUUCGGGUUGUAAACUUCUUUUAUUGAGGACGAAACAAAUGACGGUACUCAAUGAAUAAGCCACGGCUAACUACGUGCCAGCAGCCGCGGUAAUACGUAGGUGGCAAGCGUUAUCCGGAUUUAUUGGGUUUAAAGGGUGCGUAGGCGGCGCUUCAGGUCAGCGGUGAAAUACCGGGGCUCAACCCCGGGGCUGCCGUUGAAACCGGAGCGCUAGAAUUCCGAUGCCGUCGGAGGAAUGUGUGGUGUAGCGGUGAAAUGCAUAGAUAUCACACAGAACACCGAUUGCGAAGGCAUCUGACGAAGCGGAGAUUGACGCUGAUGCACGAAAGCGUGGGUAUCGAGCAGGAUUAGAUACCCGAGUAC